GGGAAUUUUCCGCAAUGGGCGAAAGCCUGACGGAGCAAUGCCGCGUGGAGGUGGAAGGCCUACGGGUCGUCAACUUAUUUUCUCGGAGAAGAAACAAUGACGGUAUCUGAGGAAUAAGCAUCGGCUAACUCUGUCCCAG
RNAcentral lists this ribosomal RNA (139 nucleotides) under uncultured bacterium. RNAcentral's name for it is "partial 16S rRNA". It matches the Rfam family "Bacterial small subunit ribosomal RNA", at positions 357 to 511 of the family's 1533-position model. The record is from RNAcentral.